RNAcentral lists this transfer RNA (78 nucleotides) under Chloroflexi bacterium CG07_land_8_20_14_0_80_51_10. Its description in RNAcentral is "tRNA-Arg". It matches the Rfam family "tRNA". From Rfam's summary of the family: Transfer RNA (tRNA) molecules are approximately 80 nucleotides in length. Their secondary structure includes four short double-helical elements and three loops (D, anti-codon, and T loops). The record is from RNAcentral. Lineage: Bacteria; Bacillati; Chloroflexota.
GCGCCUGUAGCUCAGCAUGGAUAGAGCGCAGCCCUGCGGAGGCUGAGGUCGCGGGUUCAAGUCCCGCCAGGCGUGCCA